UGCAAAAGUAUACAUGGCGUGAUAUUGAUCCGGCUCAUCUAUAUCUUCAAGUUCAAUCAUCCAUAUUCAUAUCAAUUUCAGACGAGCCGAAUCAAUAUCACUCUUGUUUGCUUCAUU
This 117-nucleotide microRNA precursor is filed under the name Medicago truncatula (barrel medic). The record is from RNAcentral. Lineage: Eukaryota; Viridiplantae; Streptophyta; Magnoliopsida; Fabales; Fabaceae.